Molecule: long non-coding RNA, 5210 nt
Organism: Alligator mississippiensis (American alligator)
Lineage: Eukaryota; Metazoa; Chordata; Crocodylia; Alligatoridae
Exons: 2
Source: RefSeq, a predicted model, not a curated record
CGUAACUUCACUCCAUCAACACCAGAACGAGUCCAUUAUGAUCUUAUCUUGGACAAAGGACAUUGCAUAUUAUCUUAAAGCUAAGUUCUGUUCUUCAAUAGGGGUUGGGAAUGCUGGACUGGCAAACAGAACUGACUGCAAAUUGCGCUGAAGUUUUGAAGUGACAGCAAAAACAAUUUUGAAAGCCUUCUUCAAUCUUUUUCUUUUUUAAAAUUGCUUCUCUCAAGCUCUAGUAGGGAUUUCCUGCAUGACAGGGAUCUUAAAUGCUGCCUGCAACCAAUACCAUCACAGUCCCUGGCGUGAUUAUUACAGUAGUAUGACAUAGUGGACUUACCUAUCACACCUCUCACUUCAGGAACUCAAACUUCUUACAGAGUAAUGCCUCAAAAUACCCCUAUGAAGCAGGCCCUUUACUCCUUCUCUAUACAAAGGAGCCAAAGAGAAUAGACCUUGGACAAAGUCAGAGACAGGAAAAUAAUUCAUAUGAGAGGAGACCACCUGCAUAAAAGGACUUCUAACUGCCCUUCCAAUGGAUCUGAAUUACUCUGUAGAAAUACAAAGGUUAUUUUGAUCUGGUGCCAACACAUUUCCACAUGACAUAAGCUGACUGCCCAAAGCAAGCAUUUCCAAAGCUGAAUUCAUUCAGUGAUGAACCUGCCACCUGUGUUUCUGUCAAAGCUGCAUCCAGGAGUAGAUUGGUCAGAGGCUUUUGCGGCUAGUGCCCAAAAGCUUAAAUCUGCUUCCAAACAAAAUCAACAGCAUAAUCCUCACUCUCUUCACUGGGAGCAGCAUCUACAGCCAGAUUUCUAAUGAACAUUGUAGAAAAUAACAGAAUUUGUUGAGGACAGUACUCCAGCACCGGGCAGCUGUUUUAUUCAGUACUCAGAAACAUAACCUGUUGUGGGGCCAACAUAUGUUAUACGAUGUAUUUGACUGCAUUUCCAAUGAUGUACCCUUGUAGACCUGAAAUUAUUUCUACUUGAAAUAGCUUUUAAUGAAGACAAGAGAAAUCCUUUGCAUGGCACAUUUAUAAAGUCACUUCAACAAAAAACAGGUUGUUGGAAGAUUAACAGAUAGGAAACUCUUAGCUGAGCCUAUAAACAGAGGAUAAAACAGUAGAGUUAGUACUGGCAGAAAAGUUAUUUAAACCUUGCAGCCGGAAAUCCCAAGUACUCUGUGAACUUUAUAGCUACCAACCCCGUCUUCGCACAAAAAGCAGAACCCUGCAAAGAGCCAUAAGCCAAAGAAGAAUGCUUUUAUAAACAGAAAGAAAGGAGCCCAUGUUUGGGCUGAAAAGUAAGUAGGAAAGAUUACUAGCAGCUGAACUAAAUUAGUCUUAUACAGUUUAAUGACCAAGAGAAAACUACUAGUAUUUUAUGCUCUUAAAAAUGGCAGCAUCCAUUCUUUGGACAGGCUAGUUUUCCCUGAUCUAGAGCUGUUCCAAUUUAUUAAGGCUAGACUUAACAUCUGCAAUUCUAACAAGUUUAUAUGAAGCCUGUAUUAUCAUUAGAACCAUCUGCACCACACUCAGUGAAAGUUCCUGUAAGCACCACAUACUUUUGUUUAGGGGGGUAGGGGAGAAUGGAAAUACUGAAUCCUUCAGAAGUGUGACCCCUAUGAAAGUAUCCCCUUUCCUAUGAAUUACCUGGCCUGAGAAUGGAUUCAAACUAUCUGAUACAGAUGCUUUUCACAAAGGUGUUUUAGAAGAAUCUACUAAUUGGGAGUGUAGAUUAUGGAGCUAGCAGGAGACCCAAGAGAAUAUGAUCCCAGUAUAGUAGAAAGAGAAGAUUCCAAAUUCAGGACCUUCUUGUCCAACAGUGGACUAACAGGGAGAUUCUCUUUUCCUUGUUAAGAAUUAAGCCAGAAAAGUUCUCUGAUGGCCGAGUGACUGUAUCAACUGUUUCCAUAUGACCCAGUUGCAUAACAAGGAAAGGGGUUGGUGAGCAUGGCACCAGGCCCCUGCACCAACUUACAGGGGAUGUCAAAAUGGCAGCCCCAGGGGAGUCAAUGCCAUGGCACAAGCAGCAGCCCUACACCACUCCUGUAUCGGCAGCAGCCAUAUACAAGGCACUGCACUGCACUGCUUCUGCUACCACCCCUUGAUAGCCAGUCAUCUGGCCUCCAGGGCUCCCCACAGGUUGAGAAAUUUGGCAGUGGGGGAGUGAUAGAAGCAUUAAUUGCCACUCCCUUGCUGCCAAAUUUCUGGACCUGUGGGGAGCUGUAUGGGCUGGAUGUGACCCUGUGAGUUAGAUUGCACUGGUGUGUGGGGUUGUUCAGCAGCUGGAUCUAGGUGUGCACGGUCAGGCUGCUGUGCGUCCAGACUCAGGGCAGGGUCACACCCGCAGACCAACCCUGCAUGGGAUCAGACCCACGAAUCGACCCUGCACCACUCAUCUGGCCUGUGCUGGUAGGUUGGGUACCACUGCCAUUAACCAUUCAGCUGCUGAGCAAGAGGGGGCUAAUAUCAUCAUCGCUCUGAACAUCAAACAGUUGUUGCACAUGAAUUUUCUUUGAUUCAAGAGCUUACAUGGAAUUGGAUUACAACUGAGCAGCUGAGGUCUAAGUAGAGUUAGGUGCUCAAGUGACUGCGCUGGACUGUUUCUGAGAACACAGGGAAGUCCAUGUCUGUCACCUAUACUUCUCUUCAAGCGACAACUGAUGCACUUAAGGUAUCUGGGUGCCUCAGCAGAAUUGUGGCUGUUGCUCAGGAUGGCAUGCAAUUUAAGUGCCACUUGAGAUGCACAACAGGAUCUGGGCCUUGCAGUCUAUACAGCAGAAGCCAAUUUACAAACAGCCUUUGAGCAGGGAACCAUAACAACAGCCAGAAUCUCAAAACCAUCAUCACACUUCUACCCCUCUGUAAUCAUGUCUACAUGAUUACAAGCACCUCAGCAACAGGUCAAUACAUAGCAGAAGCAUAUAGUUCAAUCUGGCCUUUCUACAUUAGAAGCCACAGGUAAAAGGAGCAAGGAAUAAAGUACCAGGGGUUUUCAAGUACAAUAGCUGCUCCUGGCUGGGCAAAGUGACCAUGGAGAAAAGAAUUCUGAAAUCUCCCUGAAGUUACCAGAGGAGUCCUUCCAGACAAGUGAGUUGGAUCAGAUUCACACAGGAAACCUCCCGGCACAGCCAGUUCACCUGGAGAAUCACCAUUUCCUGGUUCUUAUUAUACAUCUGUUCUCCCCUUCAUAAUCCCCUAGGUAUUCAUGUAUGGAGUAUGGCAGCCUAGGCACAUGCCACAGCCAGGGAGGAGGGAACAUAGUGAGAGCAAAGGCUCAGUCUGUCUCUCCUCCCUGCCCUUCCCCCCUCCCAAACUCUAUAAACUUCUAUCUAGCAGACAGGGGGCAGGAUGCAGCCUCUGCCUGCAUAACCUCUUUACAGCUCUGCCAGCAAGGGGCUCCAACCUCCUCUUCUGUCCAUAUGCUGCAGUAACUGAAAAAGGCAAGACCAAGAGUCCAAAAACAACAUUUAAAAUUAUGGAAAAUGGCACAAAUAGCUUUGAAGGAUAGACUGACAGGAAUGAGUGCAAAGCAGACUUCUGAAUGGCCCAUCUCUGCCAGGGACAGGAAACUGGAACCUUGGGGAGAGAGUCAAUGGAAUCAGUGAGAACAGAAGAUGCCAAAAAUUCCUGCUGCUGAUAGCCGAUUUCUGCCUGAGGAAGGAGAACCAUCCAUCUGCAAUGGAGACAAAAUUGUGCAAAGAUGAAACAGUCCUUCACUACAGAAUGCAUGGUGGCUCUGUCACCACCUUGCAACUAGCCAAACCACAGGGGUCAUAGAUUAUAAGCAUAAUGCAAUCUGCUGCUUGGAUGUCAGAUCUUGAGGAAAUGGUUCAGAAAAACUUGGACAACUCAGGUGCUCCUACAGGAUAUUUAGGUGCUGGAUGCUAGAAAAUUGCUUCUUUGGCUACCUUUUAUUCUACAUUAUUUUUAAACAGUGGAUGUUAACAUCAGUGCCCCAGUUACAUCUGUAACUGCAGCUGGAAAGUGUAAUUUUUGUUACUGAACAAGAGCUGUGAUGUAUGAAUUACCAAAAGAGGUGCUGUUACCUGCAAUGCAAAAGGGAAUGCUAUUUGGAGCAAGUAGGGUAGAAACAAACCUAAUCAUUCUCUUAACACAUACACAGCCUGAGUUUCAACUGUCACACAUCUUGCACAGCCACUUGAGUUCAUUUCUGCAAAAGGCCAAUUUUCAUAGAGAUGUAAUUAUAAAUGCAUUGCAAAUCUAUUUGCAGAAAUACCUUCCAUGCACUCUAACCCUCAGUCCUUUUGAGAGAAAUAAGAGCAAAUACCAAAUAUUUCUGAUGAAAUUAAAGUCAUAAGUUACAAAGGACAAGUUUCAGAAGCAACAUUUUUUUAGGUAAAUGCUCAAUUCACAUUUUGUUGCCAAAAAAAGCUUCUGGGCUUCAAUAUCACUCUAAGUUUAGAACAGAACAAUUAUAUUAUGGCCCACUUUAAAUCUCAGCACACAGUGGUUUAUAAUGACAAUACUGAAAAUAAAUCACUGUUUUAAAACUUUCCCAACACACCACAGAUUAGAUCCAGAAGGGUAGACAAAUUUGUCACUGAAAAUUUGAGCUGUUCCUGCUGGAACUCAAGGCUGUAACACAGAGAGUGAAACGAGUCAAUGGACUAAAGAAGAUACACAAUGAUUGUGCCUGCCUAGAUAUUACUGGUUUUAUGGAGCUCCCAACUAUAGCCAGAUUACUGUAGGACCACAACAGCCUGCAGUAAAUUAAGAAGUGGGGUCUUUAUCCAGCAGGAAUGAGCUGAUAUAUUCACCAACGCCCUACUGAAGUAUAUUUGACCACCAAAAACAAAAAAGCCAUUAACAUCCUGUAUUAAUAGGCUUUGUGGUUUUUAAGCAAGAUAUUUUCAUGAUGGACACAAUGUGAAUUCAGCAAAGUUUUCCCUUUAAGAAAUACAGCAUCAAUUUCAAAGAGCUGAUUAAAUUUAAUACCAUUAGAGAACCAUUACUGAAUUUUUUGGGGGUUGUUGUUACUGUUUUAACUAUCACAGUUAGUUUCUGAACCAAAAAUUACAGACAGUUGGCUUGACCAAGAGUCAAGGUUUAGGAAUGUGAGAGCAAAUCCAAGGUAUAGAUGAGCUUCAGAUGUGGACAGGCUUCAUGGGGCUUAAUAGCCUCGCCAAGUCUUGUCAGGUCAUAGAGGAUUUUUUCUUCUUAAAUAUAGCUGGCCAGGAUAUGGCAGGAAGAA